CCUACGGUAUGCAGCAGUGGGGAAUAUUGGACAAUGGGCGAAAGCCUGAUCCAGCCAUGCCGCGUGUGUGAAGAAGGCCUUCGGGUUGUAAAGCACUUUCAGUGGGGAAGAAAGCCUUGGGGCUAAUACCCUCGAGGAAGGACAUCACCCACAGAAGAAGCACCGGCUAACUCCGUGCCAGCAGCCGCGGUAAUACGGAGGGUGCGAGCGUUAAUCGGAAUUACUGGGCGUAAAGCGCGCGUAGGCGGUCUGAUAAGCCGGUUGUGAAAGCCCCGGGCUCAACCUGGGAACGGCAUCCGGAACUGUCAGGCUAGAGUGCAGGAGAGGAAGGUAGAAUUCCCAGUGUAGCGGUGAAAUGCGUAGAGAGCGGGAGGAAUACCAGUGGCGAAGGCGGCCUUCUGGACUGACACUGACGCUGAGGUGCGAAAGCGUGGGUAGCAAACAGGAUUAGAUACCCUAGUAGUC
This 465-nucleotide ribosomal RNA is filed under the name Vreelandella stevensii. RNAcentral describes it as "partial 16S ribosomal RNA". It matches the Rfam family "Bacterial small subunit ribosomal RNA", at positions 338 to 795 of the family's 1533-position model. Lineage: Bacteria; Pseudomonadati; Pseudomonadota; Gammaproteobacteria; Oceanospirillales; Halomonadaceae. The record is from RNAcentral.